GGAACCCUCCAGGAGAUGAUGCCAUAAUCUGACAUGGGCACCUCUAGGAUGGAGCAGGUGGAGCCUGGAAAUGGAGAAGCUGCAGAAAGAGGGAAACACCUCUGCCCCUGCAGAGCCCAUCAUCCAGAUCUUGGCCUGAUGGAAGCAGGAGCUCUGGGUAGCACAGCUGCAUUUAUCCACCUAAACUUUAAUUCAGCCCUAAAUCUACAGUUAAUUUUGAAAAUGGGACCUCAACUAAGCAGCAAGAAUCCCACCUGUGUCACCAACACAUCACCUGCUAAUGCCAGACUGAAGUGGAGCAAUACACAGCACUGUCUUAAAAGAUCUGCUGAUUCAUUAAUGCUCAUGCUUUCCCUUCAAUAGCAAAUAUCUCCUUUUGUCUCAAAUAAACACAUGGAAAUAAAGCCA
Molecule: long non-coding RNA, 408 nt
Filed under: Cyanistes caeruleus (blue tit)
Lineage: Eukaryota; Metazoa; Chordata; Aves; Passeriformes; Paridae
Description: lncRNA (ENSCCEG00000024095.1)
Source: RNAcentral